AGAAUCUACAAAUCUACACCAACUGCCUAAAGAAAUUCUGAAUAUUACACAGUUGAGGCACCUUCUUUUGAAUCCUUGUGGUGGAAUUAGAGUUCCAAGAGGGAUUGGAACGUUGGUAAAUCUUCACACAUGUGCUGGUGUCUAUGCUAAUGCUACCUUUGCUAGUGAAUUAAGUACUUUAACCCAUCUACAAAACCUUGAUGUUCGAAAUGUGUCUGAGG
RNAcentral lists this unclassified non-coding RNA (221 nucleotides) under Hevea brasiliensis (rubber tree). Lineage: Eukaryota; Viridiplantae; Streptophyta; Magnoliopsida; Malpighiales; Euphorbiaceae. The record is from RNAcentral.